AUUGCAGGCUGCAACCCGCCUGUAUGAAGUUGGAAUCGCUAGUAAUCGCGGAUCAGCAUGCCGCGGUGAAUACGUUCCCGGGCCUUGUACACACCGCCCGUUACACCAUGAGAGUCGGGAACACCCGAAGUCCGUAGUCUAACCGCAAGGGGGACGCGGCCGAAGGUGGGUUCGAUAAUUGGGGUGAAGUCGUAACAAGGUAGC
RNAcentral lists this ribosomal RNA (204 nucleotides) under uncultured bacterium. Its description in RNAcentral is "partial 16S ribosomal RNA". It matches the Rfam family "Bacterial small subunit ribosomal RNA", at positions 1297 to 1500 of the family's 1533-position model. The record is from RNAcentral.